CCCCUUUCGCAGCCAGCGUCCCUCGCCUAUAUUAGCUGCGUCAGCUUGCUGACUAUGGUGAUAAACGGUGCGUGGAAUAAACGUUGUGGACCCGGGGGCAGUACCCGGCGCCUCCACCAUUUUCCAGGCGUCCCGAUGACGAAGCGCUCACCGCGCCGUCUGAAUCGGGCCGCCCAGAUUUAUGGGGGCGAAACAGACUCGACACGCGUGGUAAAGACCCAUCUUUUGCCCGGCAUUGUACCGCCGUCAUCGGGCUAAUUUUUAAAUGCGAACGAUAACAACGUUGCAUUCGCCGUCGCUGCCUAAAAACAGCUAAGCGCGGUUCGGGGGGUACCGGGCAACAGAAACCCCCCACU
This 356-nucleotide transfer-messenger RNA is filed under the name Acidocella sp. It matches the Rfam family "Alphaproteobacteria transfer-messenger RNA". Rfam says of the family: Bacterial tmRNA, also known as 10Sa RNA or SsrA, is named for its dual tRNA and mRNA-like properties. Lineage: Bacteria; Pseudomonadati; Pseudomonadota; Alphaproteobacteria; Acetobacterales; Acidocellaceae. The record is from RNAcentral.